RNAcentral lists this small RNA (333 nucleotides) under Spisula solidissima (Atlantic surf clam). Its description in RNAcentral is "cnRNA30". Lineage: Eukaryota; Metazoa; Mollusca; Bivalvia; Venerida; Mactridae. The record is from RNAcentral.
UGUGUGAGCCUGUGGGUAUCCGGAAUGGAGAUUCUGUGUGAGCCUGUGGGUAUCCUGAAUAGAGAUUCUGUGUGAGCCUGUGGGUAUCCGGAAUAGAGAUUCUGUGUGAGCCUGUGGGUAUCCUGAAUAGAGAUUCUGUGUGAGCCUGUGGGUAUCCUGAAUAGAGAUUCUGUGUGAGCCUGUGGGUAUCCUGAAUAGAGAUUCUGUGUGAGCCUGUGGGUAUCCGGAAUAGAGAUUCUGUGUGAGCCUGUGGGUAUCCUGAAUAGAGAUUCUGUGUGAGCCUGUGGGUAUCCUGAAUAGAGAUUCUGUGUGAGCCUGUGGGUAUCCUGAAUA